UCCCUGGUGGUGUAAAUGAUUAACAUGCUUGGCUGCUAACUAAAAGAUUGGAGAUUCAAGUCCUCCCAGAGGCA
RNAcentral lists this transfer RNA (74 nucleotides) under Loxodonta africana (African savanna elephant). It matches the Rfam family "tRNA". Rfam says of the family: Transfer RNA (tRNA) molecules are approximately 80 nucleotides in length. Their secondary structure includes four short double-helical elements and three loops (D, anti-codon, and T loops). Lineage: Eukaryota; Metazoa; Chordata; Mammalia; Proboscidea; Elephantidae. The record is from Rfam by way of RNAcentral.